Molecule: long non-coding RNA, 5524 nt
Organism: Bos taurus (domestic cattle)
Lineage: Eukaryota; Metazoa; Chordata; Mammalia; Artiodactyla; Bovidae
Source: Ensembl
GAACCCCCGGUUCCAGUUCCGUGGGAGCGCAACACUGUUACAACGUGGGAAGCUCCAAGUACAAGUGCCGCCUUUGACUCCCGAAUUGAGGUGGGCUGGGGCGGAAGGCUCCAGGAGGAGGUGGUCUCGGAGGGGGACACCCCGCGGGAGGGUGGCACCUAGGGACCAGGAGAGCGGGGGCGCGGAGCGAGGGCGGAGCGAUGCCGCGGGAAGCCCAGCCUCGGGAGCUCGUCGGGGUAACGCAACCACGGCCGGGCCCCGACUCUGGCCACCAGAGGGCGCGCUGGCUUGUGAAAUGAUUCUCCGCCACCAGGGGGAAAACGCCCUUCGUUUUAUUCAGACCUCAGUUUCCACAUCAUGGAUGUACUUGGCACUUGCCGCCUGUUAACAGUGUUGCUCAUAGAUGCAUCCUUCCUCUCCUACUGAGGUUCUCCAGGGCAGACCCUGCCAGGUCAUCUCACCCCGAAGAGUCUGGCACAGGGCUUUCUUCACAGCCAUUGGGCAGGUGGGGGAUGCUUGGGCCAUUUCUGAAGCCUGGGUCAAUGUCAGUUCAGUUGCUCAAUCGUGUCCGACUCUUUGCGACCCCAUGGACUCCAGCACAUCAGGCUUCCCUGUUCAUCACCAACUCCCAGAGCUUGCGCAAGCUCAUGUCCAUCGAGUCAGUGAGGCCAUCCAACCAUCUCAUCCUCAGUCGUCCCCUUCUCCUCCUGCCUUCAAUCUUUCCCAGCAUCAGAGUCUUUUCCAAUGAGUCUGUUCUUCGCAUUAGGUGGCCAAAGUAUUGGAGUUUUAGCUUCUGCAUCAGUCCUUCCAAUGAAUAUUCAGGGUCAAUGAACUCCAGAUGAACCAGGAAGGGGAGUUUAUCUCACUGGGAAGCCCUGGGUCGGGCCUGUGGGAGCUGAGGGGAGGUCUCCUAGAGGCUGGGUAUUGGGUUGUCAGACAAAACACUGGAUGGCCUAGUUAAAUUUGAAUUUCAGUGGUCAAAAGAGAAAGCAUGUGACCAUGUGACAGUGCUUUGUAAACCACAAAAUGUGUGUGAUAAUGAGGAGCUGUCGGCUAGUGUCCUUGUUAAUCUCUUCUUCCCCUAAAAAAGUCAGGACACUGUGUUGAAUAAAAGGAGGAAAGGAGGGAGGGAAGGAGGAAAGAGUGAAGGGAGAGGAGAGAAGGCAGGAGACACACUCUAGGUGUGAUCAGCAUUUCCUCUUCCCUCCUGUCCGUUUGCUAAAUAUUCUAGGGACCCAGGGCUUUAAUUUUCUUAUUUCAGGUGAGCAGGUUUCUUCGUUAUGCAGCUAGCAUUUACUGAGUCCAUGUUUCUAUCCUCACAAGAGGGAACCUUCUAAUGGGGCACAGCCUGUACCCCACACAAUUCCCCCCUAGGUCCACAAGACCUCAGUUUACAGAGCACUUCUAUAGGAAGUUUCUCCUGUCAUCUAGGCAGCUGAGGGAUGGGAUUGAUUUCUCCAUUUCUCCAUUUUAGAGACAGGAGGCAAGGCUCAGGGACCCCAAGUGCUGCCCGAGGUGACCACAGAGAGUGGUCAGACUAACAGCCUUUUUCAGACUAACACUCCAAACGUAGUGAUCUGAUAAGUGCAUCAGGAGGAAAGUGAUCUUGUUUGUGGAAUAAAUGAGAACACUGUGGAAAACGAAACAAGCGGAGUGAAGAGGCUGCAUGCCUCCAGCCACUCCUCCCCUCGCUUGUCUGUUUCUGGGGUAACUGUCGUGGUUCCCACAGUCGUGCACGCUUUGGUUCUGCCAAGCCUCCCACACAGAGGAUCACUUAAUCCCCACAGCACCACGGGCAGGCCCUCGGGUCAAGUGACCUCUCCAGGGCCGCACAGCUGGAAGGUGGGGACUGUGAGCAUGGGGCUGUCUGCGUCUUGCUCAGGCUGUGAACAGUGCCCAGGACACGCAGGUGUGGAAAGACUGAUAGUUCUUACCUGCCAGGUCUUGACGGGCUUCUCUCUCUGAGCAGCCCUCUCGACUGCGAAGCAGCUCUGUGUGUGCUGACCUGGCAAAAUGCCUCCGAAGCCUUGAUGAGUGAGUGAAAGGGAAGUUGUGGAACUCUGCAGGCCAGUGCGCUAGGAACAAAAUGUCCCGUGGGCUCAUAUUUUGGUUUCUGUGAGGGAUAACUCUGAGAGGGUAUUAACCGCUGUCUCUGGUGGUCACCUUCACGGGGAGUGGAAUUGAAGAAGGGGAGGGUAGGGAGAACGUCCAACAUUCUGUGACACUGGCUGCUGUCUGAGUUUCUUGUAACAAUCCUUAUCCUUCAGGAACGUUGGAAAGGGAACGUUUGUAACAGGGAAAAUGUAGAGACAAUCCAAAGGCCCCAGGCCAAGCCUGGAGGUCUCCCCGGUCUGUCUAGUCAGGCUGCCCUUCCAGCCCAGCCUGCAAUAGGGUCGAAGGUGAGACACAUCAAAGGGUGGGAAUCAGUCCAGAGUUGAGUCAAAGAAAAGAGAAUUGUGCGGCCGUGGCAGGGACCCCAGUGGCUGCUGUGUGAGCAUGUGCACACACACAUACCAGACCUGUUACCUUCCUGCCCCCAACACACGCCUCUGAUCUGGCCUCUGCUCUGGGUUGAGGGCUCACAUGUGGUUCUCUGCCCCAGGCCAGUCCUGGGACCCCCCACUGCCAAGGCCUCUCUCUGACUUUGCCCCUGGCCUCACCCUGCUGACAGGAAUGGGCUGGGAGAAGGGGCUUAGGAUUGUCUGGGCCCUGGAAGUUCAACGCUCUGGGCAGUCUGCAGUGGUCCUGGAUUCCUUCUCAUUCUUUUUCUCAAGGGGAAGAAAGCCUUCCUUUAGCUCCUUCCACAAGCCUCCUCUUCUCUGGAGUAGCCAGGAAGUGUGAGCUCUGUCUACUUAGGAUCCCAAUUUGGUAGGAAGUGUGUUGAUAGGUGCGGACAUGUGUGUGUAUAAAACUCUGGAGUUGGUGUUCACGGUGGUUAUCUCUGGGGGGGGGAUUGUGGGUGAGUCUCGCUUGCUUCCUCACAUUUGUGGUUCAUGUUUGUUUAAUUUGUUUUUUAAAGUUUGUCCUUUAAAGUCUCACAGUCCCUGAGAUAAAAUCAUCCAGAGAGAAAGCACGAGAAGGAAAGUAAGAGAGAUACAUGAAAGGCAAGAAGGAGGGAAGGAGAAGCAGCAAUGAAGAGAGGGUAAAGUACAGGGAGAAAGAGAGGGUCAGGGGAGCAGAGAUGAAGGAGGGGGAGGCAAAGGGCAGAGGAGAGAUGGGGAGAGCCCUGCAGGGCCUGGGCUGAGGCCUUGGUGUGCCCCCUGCCCCCAAGUGUGGCAGCAGCUGGUGUCUUCCACAUGGCACUGCAACCCCUCCAGGCUAGCUCCCAGGCAUUCCGGCUGUGUUACACCCCGAGCACCUCUGCUGGGGACGGAGGCAGCAGAUGCUGCAGGUGGCCAGAGCCCAGCCUCCAGGCCGAGGAGCCGGGUGUUAGAGAUAAUCCUCUAGGGUCUCUCGUACUUUGCACAUUUCGUGAGCACAGGCACUGAUUGCGUUCUUUCCAGAUGGUCAUUUCCAGGAUGUUUGAAUAGCAAACAACCUUAGAAGAGAGUGGUAGUGUUUCCUUUUGGAGUGAAGAGCAGAUAUGCCCACUGCACGUUGUGUUUCCUUUUGGAGUGAAGAGCAGACAUGCCCACUGCACGUUCCAGAUGGUCAUUUCCAGGAUGUUUGAAUAGCAAACAACCUUAGAAGAGAGUGGUAGUGUUUCCUUUUGGAGUGAAGAACAGACAUGCCCACUGCACGUGGAGGUUUACAUUGCAAUCUACACACAACUUUCUGUUGUAUACUACAGUCUUUGUUCUCAGAAACAUGGGAGGGCAGUGUGGCCUAUUGGUUAGGAGGUCAGCCUCUGAGCAUAGACUCCAAUCCCAGCACUGCUGUUUAGGGUAUGACCCACAGAGUGUGGUCUGAGAGCAGAUGCUCAGAAAAGAAGGUGGGAAGAAAAAUACUUGGCAACUUUUAUUUAAAAUGAACACAAGGGUACCAGUGAGUCAACAGUUUUACUUCUAGGUAUAUACCCAACAGAAAUACAUCCAUAUGUGUGCUGAAAAACAACUAGAAUGUCCAAAGCAGUGGGAACUACCCCAGUGUUCAUCAGCAGUAGACACUGCGCAGGAGAGAGUUCUGUGCAGCAACGGGGACCUGCAGGAAUAUUCGUGAAUCUCACAGCCAUGUGGGGAAGGAGCCAGACGCAGUAUCAUGUACAAGCUGUGAGAUUCUUUUCAAACCGAAGAAACCGAAAACCAUCUUGAAUUACCAAAGAAGCUCCUCAGCCCCCUCGAGGCCUCUCGGGUAGGGAGUCACAUCUUAAGAGGCCCUCAUCCAGGGGGCGUGUGCAGGCUGCCUGGGUGUGGAAGAGGGAGCUGAGCACUGGGCCCCUUCCCUGCCUCUCCCUCCAACAAGGCACCCCAAACUAACCAGCACUGGCAGCCAGAGGGGAGAAAUUCAUUAGCAGAUCUGGUUUUGCAUAAUUUAGUGGUUGGCAUUAGCAAAUUAAGUCUGCUUGGCUUCCCUCGUUGUAAUGGCCUUUAGAGGAAACGUGGGGAAAAUACCCGCUCAUAAUCCCAGCAGUUUUCUGGAGCUGAUAAUUAAUAACAACAAUAAACUGUUAGUAAGACGUUGCAGUUUCCCCUUCGCAGGCUUUCAUGCUUGCUGCUCGCAACUGUAGCAAAGGAAAACAAGUCUGGAUUAUUGUCCGUUUGAUGACCAAGAAACUGAGAUGGGGGUGGGGUGGGGUUCAGCUGGGGAGGGAGCCCUCCUCUCUGCUGCCUGGGGCGUGUUAACGGGCGAGUGACGUCAAGAAUACUGGGGUUCAGGCAGGACCGACAGCUGAGGCCCUGCUCCACCCACAACCUUCUCAGUGGGAACCUUAUUCCUCACUUAGCUACAGCAAAUCCUAUUAACAUCAACAAUAAUAAAGCCAAUAUUUGUGGAUUACUUCUCGGCACCAAACUAUUUACUUCACUAUCUUCUCAUUAAACCACAACCACCCAUGAAGUGGUCACUGACAUCAGCAUCAAUUCACUGGUGAGGAAAUGAAAUCUCACAGAGGUGUAACAGAUACAAACAACUGAAUUGACUUCCUGGCCCUCAUCAGAAGACCUCCCUGACUACACAUGUGGAGAAAUGAAUGUUCCCUGAUGGUCAAAAGGCAAGUGAUGAUGACUACCCAUAGGCCUCUUCAGAAGAAUCCAUGUUGGCUAAGAGAUGCACCUACACAUAUGGGAAGAUCGAGAUAUUCCAAAUAUGGACUCUGAACCAGGCAAAUCAAAAUAAUUGGCCAAAGGAAACCCCAAAGAAAGUGAUUUAAACCUCCAUGAGGGCCCAGCUCUCUCUGAGUCUGCCUGUAUGUCUAUCCAGAGGUGCUGUACUCUUUUUUGUCCUAAUAAAUACUUUGUUUCACUCCUUUUUGUCUUUGUGGGAAUUCUUUUCCUCAAAGCCAAAGAGCCAAGGCCUGAUCACUGACCACUGGUCUAGUACCAGCAUAUGAUGCUCUCACCACUGUGGCCUGGACUCAGCCUCUGGC